RNAcentral lists this ribosomal RNA (467 nucleotides) under uncultured bacterium. RNAcentral describes it as "partial 16S ribosomal RNA". It matches the Rfam family "Bacterial small subunit ribosomal RNA", at positions 27 to 507 of the family's 1533-position model. The record is from RNAcentral.
GGAUGAACGCUGGCGGCGUGCUUAACACAUGCAAGUCGAACGGAAAGGCUCCUGCUUGCAGGGGUACUCGAGUGGCGAACGGGUGAGUAACACGUGGGUGAUCUGCCCUGCACUUCGGGAUAAGCCUGGGAAACUGGGUCUAAUACCGGAUAGGACGAUGGUUUGGAUGCCAUUGUGGAAAGUUUUUUCGGUGUGGGAUGAGCUCGCGGCCUUUCAGCUUGUUGGUGGGGUAAUGGCCUACCAAGGCGUCGACGGGUAGCCGGCCUGAGAGGGUGUACGGCCACAUUGGGACUGAGAUACGGCCCAGACUCCUACGGGAGGCAGCAGUGGGGAAUAUUGCACAAUGGGCGCAAGCCUGAUGCAGCGACGCCGCGUGGGGGAUGACGGCCUUCGGGUUGUAAACUCCUUUCGCUAGGGGCGAAGCGCAAGUGACGGUACCUGGAGAAGAAGCACCGGCUAACUACGUG